AUUGAACGCUGGCGGAAUGCUUUACACAUGCAAGUCGAGCGGCAGCGCGGGGGCAACCCGUGGCGGCGAGCGGCGAACGGGUGAGUAAUACAUCGGAACGUGUCCUUAAGGUGGGGGAUAGCUCGGCGAAAGCCGGAUUAAUACCGCAUAAGCUCUGGAGGAGGAAAGCGGGGGCUCCGUAAGGACCUCGCGCUGUUGGAGCGGCCGAUGUCGGAUUAGCUAGUUGGUGGGAAAGGCCCACCAAGGCGACGAUCCGUAGCUGGUCUGAGAGGAUGAUCAGCCACACUGGAACUGAGA
This 297-nucleotide ribosomal RNA is filed under the name uncultured bacterium. Its description in RNAcentral is "partial 16S ribosomal RNA". It matches the Rfam family "Bacterial small subunit ribosomal RNA", at positions 29 to 324 of the family's 1533-position model. The record is from RNAcentral.